Rhagoletis zephyria (snowberry fruit fly) is the source of this 393-nucleotide long non-coding RNA. RefSeq lists it as uncharacterized. The record is from RefSeq and is a predicted model, not a curated record. NCBI's taxonomy places the organism in Eukaryota, Metazoa, Arthropoda, Insecta, Diptera, Tephritidae.
GCCUAUCUCAUUUUAUUUCCAAAUCCAGCCUUGCUCAAAAGGCGUUAGAUUCUUCACUGAACACCUAUUACCUUGUUUAUACUUAAGAAAAAACCGCAUUAACAAAAAACCGAUUUGAUUCAACACAUAUUUAUUUCUAGCGUUUAUUCCUCAGUCUUUAUAGCGCACUCGAUUAAACCGUAUUGAAAGGUAAACAAACUCCAUUAGUCUUAUUCGAUAUCUAUAUAAUAAUAAAUUUGCGCCGUGGACCGAAAUAGAAGCGAACAGUAAUUCAAUACACUUUUCGAUUUCAACGCGUAUUGAAAUUUUGUUUAUGCAUCUGUUUUGAAUCACACCGAACUGAGUCACAGCGCUUUAUGUGCCGGUGUAAACAAGGUAUAAGUAAUAUAAUUC